AUUGAACGCUAGCGGGAUGCCUUACACAUGCCAGUCGAACGGAGUGGCGAACGGGUGAGUAAUGUAUCGGAACGUGCCCAGUAGCUGGGGAUAACUACGCGAAAGCGUAGCUAAUACCGCAUACUAUUGGAGCGGCCGCUAUCGGGUUAGCUAGUUGGUGGGGUAACGGCUCACCAAGGCGACGAUCCGUAGCUGGUUUGAGAGGACGACCAGCCACACUGGGACUGAGAGACGGCCCAGCAGCCUGCGGGAGGCAGCAGGGGGGAAUUUUGGGCAAUGGGGGAGACCCGGAUCCAGCCAUCCCGCGUGUGCGAUGAAGGCCUUCGGGUUGUAAAGCACUUUUGGCAGGAAAGCGGUACCUGCAGAAUAAGCACCGGCUAACUACGUGCCAGCAGCCGCGGUAAUUC
RNAcentral lists this ribosomal RNA (407 nucleotides) under uncultured bacterium. Its description in RNAcentral is "partial 16S ribosomal RNA". It matches the Rfam family "Bacterial small subunit ribosomal RNA", at positions 30 to 526 of the family's 1533-position model. The record is from RNAcentral.